CAAAAGGUGUGGUUAGAGAAAGUAGAUACAUUUGAUUCAGAUUCCUCUACGAGACGUGGAACGGUAAAAGAGUGGGUCGUUGUGAAGUUACCGCGGGGACUUCUUCGAGAAGGUAUGGAGUGAAGAGGACGAUCAUACGCGUCGGUUCCGCCGGUUGGGGCUUCGCCUUCGCCUUCGUGAAGAGGCUACCUUCAGGUGAAACCAACCGCGGUUGAGCGAUAGGAGUACCAGCUGGCGCUUAAGGUGGACGAGAACCAAGCCGCAGCGGACACUGCGACGGCCUGUGCAAUGCCUCGAGUCGGAAGGGUUGCGGCCGGAGUUGCGUUGUCAGAACAACCGAGGUAUGGAGCGAGUAAGAGGUCCGAGGUUUUGGAGUUCCGUGACGCCGAGAGACGUUUAUUAGAGUGUCCUCCUUAGGGCCUCCUCGACCCCUACUAUAGACCCAACCCCUUAGAACAUGACAUGCCGUUAGGGGAACCGCCCAGCUAGGGUCGUAGUGAGCCCGUCGAAGUCAACGAUGUAUACGAGGUGUAUGUUUUGCGAUCAGACCAAAGGUGAGAAGGUGGGCUCGACCCCUUGGAAUGAUCAGAAUUCAUGUACUAGGACAGUGUCUUAGUCAAUAUACCUUCAAACGGUGGUAGAAAACGGUCCUAUGUUUGUAACAAUAAAAAAGUGUACGUACCUUUAUUAUAGUUACCAUCGUAGGGCAGUCUCUACAAAUGUUUAACAUGGUUCGAGCUCGCAAAGUAACAUAUACCUUUGAACAAUUGACCUUCGUAGAGUAGCGUAUAGUAGUUCACGUUCCUCGAGCUCAAAAAACUACCUAGGCCUUUGGAAAAUUGACCUUCGUAGGGUUCCCUCUAUCCCUCGUACGCUUUGAACGUCCGUAACAAGAACACCCUUUUAGUGGAAUGACCUUAAUACGGUAGUCUAUAACCAUUACGUUGUAGAAACUUUAAGGAACUGCAGUCGAGGUUGGUAGAUCUCCCACUCGAAGGAUCUUGAUAGAGGAACGACCAUUUAGAACAACGAGAGUCGAACAGACCGUUGUUCAAAUGCCCAUGGUAAGGAUUAGGACUGUCGUUCGUCAACGGUCAACAGUUCUAACGGUUGCCAUUUCUGUUACCGUCGAAGAGCCCUCUUAGUGCCAGACGGUAAACACCUAACUGUGAAGACGUCGAGAAUCUAGAUAGUUUGUUACUCGACAAACCUCUAAAGGACCAACGGAGACCUUAAACUUUCUAAAUGUUCGGAACCUAAACAGUCCGUUACGAAAACGACCCCUUUAAGGUUGGAGUUGAAAGUUGUUGAGAAGUGAUUCCAGUGACGUUAACAGUCCGUUGAUGAAGUGUCCAACGAAAGGUCGCCACAACUUCUUGAAUUUUUCGGAACAACAAAACCUAGAGUCAUUGUUAUUCUAAAGGCCACAUUAAGGAGGUACCUAUCCCCUUUCGUUUGGAAGCAACUCCUAAGAGUACGAUGCCCGUUUGUACAAGAUGCCUUCAUAAGGAACCGUCCUCGAUAGUGAGGAGGGGGCAGAGGUUGACGAACUAGAACGACUUUUAUUAAAACAUCCAAGGUAUGGUCUUUCAAACCAGUUGAAGAGGAACUACCCUGUCUGAAAACACUACGUUGGUCAACAUUGUUUGUAGUAUCAUGAAUGGUUGAUAUCUAUAAUAAUAAAAAUGUUACCGUCGUACCUGUAUUAAACCUUCCCUGCCCUCAUGUGAAAAUUCCCUUCUGUACGGAAACACUGACCAUAACUAGAGAGACCAUUAAGAGAUAGGCCACUCUAGGGAAGUCUCAAUUGUUCAGAGUUUCCGUACGUCAAAAACUUAUAAAGUUCUUUAUUGGAUAGACCAUCAUAGGGGUUCCUGUAACCGUUGGAUUUCAAUAAUCUCAGGGAACUGGAGAGAACCUUGUUUAAUUGUCCAGUAUAAGGAGGAUCACAGAGUUUGGACUGCAGGGAAUGGCAAGAGUUAGAGGGUUGUUGGAAGACAGACCUCUCUAUGGAUGUCCUUCAGUCGAGGUUUGUGAACUCCUGGGUAGCUAGAUGUCGUUAUUAGAACCUGAAACACCGGGAGGUAACUCGUAAGGUACGUGUUUGUUAAGCUCAUCAUGUCUUCGUCAACUACCGCUGGUACUUGUACUUUGCCACACCGACAUGAUGAGCCACUAACGACCUUGACAGAAGCCAAAGACCCAUACCAAACCUCGUAACAAGAAGACGUUCUAGACCGCCAAACGCAAGAAGUCAACGUAGCUACGGUACGUCGUCUUUCAACACGUGUUCUACUUCGUAUGGACUGACAUAAAUACUGUGAAUAGACGAAGGGUCAAGGGUGAUAUAUUCGACGUCGAGAAACAAAAGAAUGUGGUUAUUAGACGUUCAUAUACACGAACAUCACGCGAUCUAACGGAACACGCAUCAACAUACUACACUGGUUACAGGUUGGCUUAACGUAAUCAAAAAUAAGAAACUUAAACACACGAAAGGAUGUUACCGUAAGGUAUCCUAAAAAC
Molecule: ribosomal RNA, 2523 nt
Filed under: Triticum aestivum (bread wheat)
Lineage: Eukaryota; Viridiplantae; Streptophyta; Magnoliopsida; Poales; Poaceae
Description: partial small subunit ribosomal RNA
Source: RNAcentral